CUCCUCCCUGUGUCCUCCUCACCUCCCCCUCCCUGUGUUCUCCUCACCACCCACCCUCCCUGUGUUCUUCUCAGUCCCCCCCUUCUCCUCAUCUCCCCUUCUCCUCACUCUUACUCUCCCCCUCCUCCUUGUGUUCUUCUUACUCCCCCCUUGUUCUUCUUACCCCCCGUUUUUCAUACCCCCCUUCUUCUUCUUACUCCCCCUCCUCCUCCUUCUGUUACUCCCCCCUCCUUCACUUACUCCCCC
This is a non-coding RNA of Pelobates cultripes (western spadefoot toad), 246 nucleotides long. Lineage: Eukaryota; Metazoa; Chordata; Amphibia; Anura; Pelobatidae. The record is from the annotation of a GenBank genome assembly.